RNAcentral lists this ribosomal RNA (254 nucleotides) under uncultured bacterium. Its description in RNAcentral is "partial 16S ribosomal RNA". It matches the Rfam family "Bacterial small subunit ribosomal RNA", at positions 524 to 776 of the family's 1533-position model. The record is from RNAcentral.
UACGUAGGGUCCAAGCGUUAUCCGGAAUCACUGGGCGUAAAGCGUGCGUAGGUGGCGUGUUAAGUGUGAUGUUAAAUCGUGGGGCUCAACCCUGUCGAUGCAUCGCAUACUGGCAUGCUAGAGGACGGCAGAGGCAAGUGGAAUUGGUAGUGUAGCAGUGAAAUGCGUAGAUAUUACCAGGAACACCAAUGGCGAAGGCAGCUUGCUGGGCCACUCCUGACACUGAGGUACGAAAAGCGUGGGGAGCGAACAGG